This is a long non-coding RNA of Ruditapes philippinarum (Manila clam), 3533 nucleotides long. RefSeq lists it as uncharacterized. Lineage: Eukaryota; Metazoa; Mollusca; Bivalvia; Venerida; Veneridae. The record is from RefSeq and is a predicted model, not a curated record. The transcript is spliced from 3 exons.
UUCUUCAUCUGUGCUGGUAGAUUUGUACAUUUGGAAGUUGUUUUUGUGUGGAAAGAGAUGGACACGGUCAGUAUGCAAUUUGAUAGGAAUUAUCUAUAUUAGCUAGUCUAUAACUAGGUAGACUAGAAUAUCUGUGGUUCUACCCUAAAUUUUACCUGCCCUUGUCUGUCCAUUUUGGGGCAUAUUUUUUCUGCCAAUAAAGGUGGAGAGUCGCCAUAUGACUUGAGAACCAACAAAAAAAAUGUGAUUUGUUUAGUUAAAAAGACUUUGUUCAACAUAUAAUAUAUGAUUGGAAUGUUGUUUUGUUAACCCCAGUGAAAUUUCAGUUAAUCUUAAGACCAAGGAGGCAGAUUUGCAAGAAUGGCAUGAAACAUGGUGAUGAUGGAUGGACGUGUGGAUCGUUAAAGCCCAACAGUGACAGAGUAUUGGAGUACUUGACGUGCAUUGUGAAAGUUGAUCGAGACUAUCAAUUCUUCGAGAGUCCCAGUGCCUAUAUACUCGCAAGAAGGAUAUGGUAUGAAAUACAGCUUGGUACACAUCUGUGCUGGUAGAUUUGUACAUUUGGAAGUUGUUUCAGUGUGGAGAGAGAUGGACACGGUGUAUUGUACGUUAAUCUUAAGACCAAGGAGGCAGAUUUGCAAGAAUGGCAUGAAACAUGGUGAUGAUGGAUGGACGUGUGGAUCGUUAAAGCCCAACAGUGACAGAGUAUUGGAGUACUUGACGUGCAUUGUGAAAGUUGAUCGAGACUAUCAAUUCUUCGAGAGUCCCAGUGCCCAUAUACUCGCAAGAAGGAUAUGGUAUGAAAUACAGCUUGGUACACAUCUGUGCUGGUAGAUUUGUACAUUUGGAAGUUGUUUCAGUGUGGAGAGAGAUGGACACGGUGUAUUGUACGUUAAUCUUAAGACCAAGGAGGCAGAUUUGCAAGAAUGGCAUGAAACAUGGUGAUGAUGGAUGGACGUGUGGAUCGUUAAAGCCCAACAGUGACAGAGUAUUGGAGUACUUGACGUGCAUUGUGAAAGUUGAUCGAGACUAUCAAUUCUUCGAGAGUCCCAGUGCCUAUAUACUCGCAAGAAGGAUAUGGUAUGAAAUACAGCUUGGUACACAUCUGUGCUGGUAGAUUUGUACAUUUGGAAGUUGUUUCAGUGUGGAGAGAGAUGGACACUGUGUAUUGUACGGUAAACCUUGCUCUUUGAUUUCAUUGGUAAAUCUAUUUUAGCUAGUCUACAACUAGGUGAAGCUAGUCUAUAACUAGGUAAAGCUGGAACGUCGCCAUAUGACCUAUACUGUGUCGGAACGUCGCCAUAUGACCUACACUGUGUCGGUGUGACGUAAAGCACAUUCAAACAAACAAACAAAACCUGCCCUUUGUCUGUCCAUUUUUGGGAAUAUUUUUUCUGCCAAUAAAGGUGGAGAGAUGUCAUAUGACUUAAGAAGCACUUUAACAAAUGUGAUUUGUUGACAAAUGAGAUUGGAAUGUUGUUUUGUUAACCCCAGUGAACUUUCAGUUAAUCUUAAGACCAAAGAAUGGCAUGAAACAUGGUGUUGAUGGAUGGAUGUGUGAUGAGAUUGGAAUGUUGUUUCGUUAAGGCAAGGCAAGUACAGAACAGAAAGGUAAAAUUAUUAAAAAGAUGUUAUAUUGUAUUUAUAAUAGGGGAAUGAUAUUAUGAACAACAUACUAUGUUAGAUGAAAUUGAAAUUGUGUAUAUGAAAGUUGAGAGUAAACAUUAUUGAAAGUAACAUUGUGAAUUGUGAAAUGAUCCCUGGUGGAUGACAUGAAGUCAUUAAUGAAAACUGGACAUGGAAGUUUACUGCAGUGAAAAUUAGUGAAAAAUGAAAUGGAAAGUAUCUGUUGAAAUAUGAAAGAAAUGAAUUGAAUCAGCAAUAGCAAAAUAGGAAAAGUGAAAGUGAAAAAUGAAUGAAAAUAAAUUGAAAAAGGAAGGAAUGCAUGAAAAUUUGAAUUUUCAAAAAAUUUGAGAACAAUAAUGUAAAUAAUAUAGAUAUUUAUGAAGAGUUGAAUGAAGAAAUUUGAAAGUGAAAAUGGAAAGAUAGUGAAAAAUGGAAAGUAUCUGUUGAAAUAUGAAUGAAAUAUAAAUGAAGAUCACAAGAGAUCAGCAAUAACAAAAGGAAAUGUGAAAGUGAAAAAUGAAUGAAAAUAAAUUGAAAAAGGAAGGAAUGCAUGGAAAUUUGAAUUUUCAAAAAAUUGAAUCGGCUUCAAAGAAAUGAAAAAAGGAGAACAAUAAUAUAGGAAUUUAUGAAUGAAAUUUGAAAGUGAAAUGAGUUCAUAACGAAAUAAAAAAUGAAUGAAUAAUGUAAUGGAAGAUAAUUUGGUGGUGCAAAGAUCAGACAUGUGAAAAUAUAAAUGAAAUAGAUAUGAAACAAUUGGCUUUUCUUGACUGUAGAAAGUCAAUGAUUGUUGAUUGUCUGCUCCUCCCAUUCAUAGUUCUACCAUGAUGUGGAAGUGCAGACAAUGCAGUUUUUCUAAUUGAUUUUUUUCUAUUUCAGCUCAAUUUUAUAUUGACCUUUGACUGGACCUUAAUCAAUCUGCAAGUCCUUACCAACCUGACCACCUCAUUUGAUGACCAUAAGCCAUGGCUUUCCCUAGUUGACCAAUCAACUUUUUUAACUACUUGGCAUAAUUAACGUAAAGGCCCAAUCUUUGACCAAAACUUUCUCCGGUUAUUGGUCAGACAUGGAUAUUGGAUAUUGAAGCUCUGAUUAUGGAAUGGUGGGGGAUGUGUAGCAAAACCAAAACGCGUGACUAUCUAAACCAUAUCCUGUACAGUGACAGACUUACCAUUCUUCAGAGCUUCAAUCAAAGGUUAAUAAUUUGAAAAACUAGCUAAACGCCAUUUUCCGGUACUUUCUGUACAUAGCUCUCGGGAAUUCAAUGAAAUGUUGUAUAAUAAUGUAACGAUCUGUAUGUUUUUGGCCUUUUCGGGAUUAAAGUGAAAUAAAAUGAUUAUUUCAUUGUUAGAUCUUUUUAUUAAUAAUUCCAUGAAAGAAAAUGUGAUUUUCUCAAAUAGUGAUUUUAUAGCUAAACAAAAUCACUGUUUGGAGUUCGGAUGUGAUGAAUUAUAUCACAAGGUCAUAGCCCGAGUGACAUAAUGAUGCACAUCUUAAUGACAAACAAUUAUUUUAUCAAGCGAUAAAAUCACUGAUUUGGAUAAUUAUUUUAUCAAGCGAUAAAAUCACUGAUUUGGAUAAUUAUUUUAUCAAGCGAUAAAAUCACUGAUUUGGAUAUCUUAUUUCAAUUUUAACACAUCAACAAAUAAAUGUGUAAAAUUUGCGAUAGAUAAACGGUGAAAUCUUGUGGUAUGAAAAUUAUCAUAUUUCACUCGUAGCUACCACCACUCGUGAAAUUUUUCAUUUUCAUACCACUCCAUGAAAAUAAAUCAUGUAUUUAUAGAAAAAACUUGAAUAUCGUCUAUAUACUUUACUCAUUAGGUGUAAUUCCCAAGAUCUUCAUAUGUAAAGUACUGGAAAAUGAUGUGCAGCUAGGUUUUCGAAAAGGUCAAUCGCUACACUUCUCCCAA